RNAcentral lists this unclassified non-coding RNA (337 nucleotides) under soil metagenome. RNAcentral's name for it is "partial contains 5.8S ribosomal RNA, internal transcribed spacer 2, and large subunit ribosomal RNA". The stretch from base 1 to 120 matches the Rfam family "5.8S ribosomal RNA", at positions 35 to 154 of the family's 154-position model. The record is from RNAcentral.
GAUGAAGAACGUAGCGAAAUGCGAUAAGUAGUGUGAAUUGCAGAAUUCAGUGAAUCAUCGAAUCUUUGAACGCACAUUGCGCCCCUUGGUAUUCCAUGGGGCAUGCCUGUUCGAGCGUCAUUUGUACCUUCAAGCUCUGCUUGGUGUUGGGUGUUUGUCUCGCCUCUGCGUGUAGACUCGCCUCAAAACAAUUGGCAGCCGGCGUAUUGAUUUCGGAGCGCAGUACAUCUCGCGCUUUGCACUCAUAACGACGACGUCCAAAAGUACAUUUUUACACUCUUGACCUCGGAUCAGGCAGGGAUACCCGCUGAACUUAAGCAUAUCAAUAAGCGGAGGA